UAUCUUAUUUUAGAGAUGCCCCAGUUGGGGUAGGAAUCGGCCAUUUGCAUUUGGUUGCAUCUUCUCUCACUCUCUGCUUCAUCAUCCUCUAUCAUCGAAAUGGUUUGUGUGGCGUUGGCACUAUGUCAGUUCGCCACCAGCAUUGAAGGUGCUGCAUAGACCACCACAUGAUCCGAGGGACGAGGGCUGAACUGGUACCAUGAUAUGGUUACACGUGCCCUUUACAAACAUCCGAAGGGGCUGCCUCUUACGGAUAUACAACAGUGGUGCAUUUAGCAUAAUCCUUUUGUCAUCCGGGCCCACAGAUGGAUUGAUGGCAACUUUGAAUCAACGAAUACUAUAAGAAAGAAUUCUGAAAGAUUUCUUCCUUAUUUGUUCGAUGGAGUCUGCCUGAUUUGCCAGACGGAUACUUGUACGAAUUUCACCCAAUGUGUAAGACAAAUUUCACCUGAUGUUUAGACAGAUUACGUACUUUCUAUUUUUAGACGGAUUCUUUUGAUUUGGUGGAUAGAUUUCACCUAAUUUCCUAAAUGCAUUCCGUCAUAUUUGAUAGACGGAAACGAAAAUGAUGAAAUAGAUGGGAUGUAGCUAUUAUGUUAAAUACUGAUGAAAAUGUGCCGCUUCUGUGAAUACUUUACCAAGGUCUCGAGCAGUAGUACUGGACUCUGUCGCGGGAUCUGUGACGAUAGUUAGGGAGUCUGUAGCGGGUUCUGUGGCGGUAGUCAGGGAGUCUGUAGCGGGAUCUGUGGCGGUAGUCAUGAUGGUGGAGUCUGAAUUUGUAGUACCUACACAUGUAGAUAGAUCAAUUGUUUAUACAUGUACACACAAUGUGUUCUUUAUUUCUUUGUAACAUAUUAAAUAAAAAACGACGGUUGAAC
Molecule: long non-coding RNA, 878 nt
Organism: Ostrea edulis (European flat oyster)
Lineage: Eukaryota; Metazoa; Mollusca; Bivalvia; Ostreida; Ostreidae
Exons: 4
Source: RefSeq, a predicted model, not a curated record